GAUGAACGCUGGCGGCGUGCUUAACACAUGCAAGUCGAACGGGAUCCAUCAGGCUUUGCUUGGUGGUGAGAGUGGCGAACGGGUGAGUAAUGCGUGACCGACCUGCCCCAUACACCGGAAUAGCUCCUGGAAACGGGUGGUAAUGCCGGAUGCUCCGACUCCUCGCACGGGGUGUCGGGAAAGAUUUCAUCGGUAUGGGAUGGGGUCGCGUCCUAUCAGGUAGUCGGCGGGGUAACGGCCCACCGAGCCUACGACGGGUAGCCGGCCUGAGAGGGCGACCGGCCACAUUGGGACUGAGAUACGGCCCAGACUCCUACGGGAGGCAGCAGUGGGGAAUAUUGCACAAUGGGCGCAAGCCUGAUGCAGCGACGCCGCGUGCGGGAUGACGGCCUUCGGGUUGUAAACCGCUUUUGAUCGGGAGCAAGCCUUCGGGUGAGUGUACCUUUCGAAUAAGCACCGGCUAACUACGUGCCAGCAGCCGCGGUAAUACGUAGGGUGCAAGCGUUAUCCGGAAUUAUUGGGCGUAAAGGGCUCGUAGGCGGUUCGUCGCGUCCGGUGUGAAAGUCCAUCGCUUAACGGUGGAUCUGCGCCGGGUACGGGCGGGCUGGAGUGCGGUAGGGGAGACUGGAAUUCCCGGUGUAACGGUGGAAUGUGUAGAUAUCGGGAAGAACACCAAUGGCGAAGGCAGGUCUCUGGGCCGUUACUGACGCUGAGGAGCGAAAGCGUGGGGAGCGAACAGGAUUAGAUACCCUGGUAGUCCACGCCGUAAACGGUGGAUGCUGGAUGUGGGGCCCGUUCCACGGGUUCCGUGUCGGAGCUAACGCGUUAAGCAUCCCGCCUGGGGAGUACGGCCGCAAGGCUAAAACUCAAAGAAAUUGACGGGGGCCCGCACAAGCGGCGGAGCAUGCGGAUUAAUUCGAUGCAACGCGAAGAACCUUACCUGGGCUUGACAUGUUCCCGACAGCCGUAGAGAUAUGGCCUCCCUUCGGGGCGGGUUCACAGGUGGUGCAUGGUCGUCGUCAGCUCGUGUCGUGAGAUGUUGGGUUAAGUCCCGCAACGAGCGCAACCCUCGCCCUGUGUUGCCAGCACGUCAUGGUGGGAACUCACGGGGGACCGCCGGGGUCAACUCGGAGGAAGGUGGGGAUGACGUCAGAUCAUCAUGCCCCUUACGUCCAGGGCUUCACGCAUGCUACAAUGGCCGGUACAACGGGAUGCGACACGGCGACGUGGAGCGGAUCCCUGAAAACCGGUCUCAGUUCGGAUUGGAGUCUGCAACCCGACUCCAUGAAGGCGGAGUCGCUAGUAAUCGCGGAUCAGCAACGCCGCGGUGAAUGCGUUCCCGGGCCU
This 1347-nucleotide ribosomal RNA is filed under the name uncultured bacterium. RNAcentral's name for it is "bacterial SSU rRNA". It matches the Rfam family "Bacterial small subunit ribosomal RNA", at positions 28 to 1381 of the family's 1533-position model. The record is from RNAcentral.